CAUAAAACAUGGAUGAUUUGUUAUCAGGAUACUCAUCUUAUGAGAGAAAGGUUGUUGUUCUUCAUUUUGAAGCCACAUCAAGUAACUAGAUUCGCUUUUUAUUUGUCAGAAAGAGUGUCUUAAUUUAUUUUAUUGAAAGUGGGAGGAAAUUGAUUUAUUUUUUCAUAAUAAAUUUUUGUCCAUAUUUAAGGAAAAAUUAUUCGAUUUUUUUCGGAGAAAGUAGAAUUCUUUGUGUCCGUCCAGUAGUUUGAACUUAAAAAAAAUGUGGCUGGAUCUUCAGAUUACAAAUAAAUAUUUUUUGGUAUCCCUUUAAGUUUCUUGCUUCUUUCAUUGAAAAAUAAAUUUUUACGAUGUCCCAGUUUGGAAUGUAAGCAAGCAAAUAAAUAUGUCCCGAUAUAUUAGUUUGAAAGAAAUAGUUACUUUGAUGACACACUUUGUCUUGAAGAGUCGGCAAACUUUCUCACAUAGAAUUGAUAAAUUAGCGCAGACAUAAAACAUGGAUGCUUGGUUAUUGGAAUAUUCAUCUUAUGUGAGAAAAGUUUUCGUUCUUCAUUUUGAAGUCACAUUAGGUAACUAGAUUUGCUUUUGUUCGUAAGUAAAAGUGCUUUAAUUUAUUUUAUCGAAAGUGAGAGGAAAUUGAUUUAUUAUUUCAAAAUAAAUUUGUGUUCAUGUUCAAGGAAGAGCUUUUUGAUUUCUUUGGAGAAAAUAGAAUUUCUUGUGUCUGUCCUGUAGUUUGAACUUAAAACAAAAGUAGCUGGAUCUUCUAAUUGCAAGUAAAUAUUUUUUUGUAACGUUUUAGGUUUCUUGCUUCUUUCGUUGAAAAAUGAUUUUUUACAAUAUUCCGGUUUGAAAAGUGAGAAAGCAAAUAAAUCUGUUAUGAUAUAUUAGUUCAAAAGAAAAAAAUUAUUUUGAUGAUGCACUUUCUCUUGAUGAGUCAGCAAACUUUCUCACAUAAGUUGACAAAUUAGCACAGACAAUACAUGGAUGCUUGGUUAUCGGGAUAUUUAUCUUAUGUGAGAAAGGUUGUCGUUCUUUAUUUUAAGGCCACAUCAGGUAUCUAGAUUUAUUUUUGUUCAUUGGUAAAAGUGCCUUAAUUUAUUUUAUUGAAAGUGAGAGUAAAAUUGAUUUAUUAUUUCAAAAUAAACUUUCAUCUGUGUUUAAGGAAUUUUUUUUUGAUUUCUUCGGAGCAAGUAGAAUUCUUUGUGCCCUCCGGUAGUUCGAACUAAAACAAAACGUGAUUGGAUCUUCUGACUGCUAGUAAAUAUUUUUUGGUAUCGCUUUAAGUUUCUUGCUUCUCUUGUUGAAUAAUAAUUUUUUACGGUAUUCCGGUUUAAAAAGUAAGCAAGCAAGUAAAUAUGUCUCGAUAUAUUAGUUUGAAAGAAAAAGUUACUUUGAUGACACUUUUUCUUGAAGAGUUUGCAAACUUUCUCACAUAAAGUUGACAAAUUAGCGCAAGCAUAAAACAUAGAUGCUUGGUUAUCGGGAUAUUUAUCUUAUGUGAGAUAGGUUGUCGUUCUUCAUUUUGAAGCGACAUUAAGUAACAAGAUUUGCUUUUGUUUGUCGGUAAAAGUGCCUUAAUUUAUUUUAUUGAAAGUGAGAGAAAAUUGAUUUAUUGUUUCAAAAUAAAUUUUCGUCUGUGGUUAAAGGAAAAGUUUUUCGAUUUCUUCUGAGAAAGUAGAAUUCUAUGUGUCUGUUUGCUAAUUUGAACUUAAAAAAAAAUGUGACUGGAUCUUUUGAUUGCAAGUAAAUAUUUUUAGUAUCGUUUUAAGUUUCUUGCUUUUUUCGUUAAAAAAAGUUUUUUAUGGUGUCUCGGUUUGGAAAGUAAGCAAGCAAGAAAAUAUAUCCUAAUAUAUUAGUUUGAAAGAAAAAGUUACUUUGAUGUUACACUUUUUCUUGAAGGGUUGACAAAAUUUUUCACAGAGAGUUGACAAAUUAGUGUGGACAAAAAACAUAGAUAUUUAGUUAUUGGGAUAUUCAUCUUACGUGAGAAAAGUUGUCAUUCUUCAUUUUGAAGUCAUAUCAGGUAACUAAAUUUGCUUUUGUUCCUCGGUAUGAGUGUCUUAAUUUAUUUUAUUGAAAGUGAGAGGAAUUUAAUUUAUUGUUUUAAAAUAAAUUUGUUUUCUUCGGAGAAAGUGGAAUUUCUUGUGUCUGUCUGGUAGUUUGAACUAAAAUAAAAUGUGGUAGGAUCUUUUGUCUGCAAGUAAAUAUUUUUUGGUAUCGUUUUAAGUUUUUUGCUUUUUUCAUUGAAAAAUAAAUUUUUUAGGGUCCCGGUUUGGAAGGUAAAAAAGCAAGUAAUAUGUCCCGCUAUAUCAGUUUGAAAGAUGAAGUUGCUUUGAUGACUCACUUUCUCUUGAAGAGUCAUCAAACUUUCUCACAUAGAGCUGACUGUGCUUGGUUUUCGAGAUAAAACAUGAAUGUUUGGUUAUUGAGAUAUUCAUCUUAUGUGAGAAAAAUUGUCAUAACUUCAUUUUAAAGCCACAUCAGUUAACUAGAUUUGCUUUUGUUUGUUAGUAAAAGUGUCUUAAUUUAUUUUAUUGAAAGUGAGAGGUAAUUGAUUUAUUAUUUCAAAAGAAAUAUACGUCUGUCUUCAAAGAAAUUCUUUUUAAUUUCUUCGGAGAAAGUAGAAUUCUUUGUGUUCGUUUGAUAGUUUCAACUUAAAAAAAAUGUGCUCGGAUCUUCUGACUACAAGUGCUAUUGUUUUAAGUUUCUUUCUUCUCUUGUUAAAAAAUAGUUUUUUAUGGUGUCCCAGUUUGGAAGGUAAGAAAGCAAGUAAAUAUGUCCUGCUAUAUUAGUUUGAAAGAAAAAGUUACUUUGAUGACACACUUUCUCUUGAGGAGUCGUUGAACUUUCUCACAGAGAGUGGACAAAUUAGCGCGGACAUAAAACAUGGAUGCUUGGUUAUUGGGUUAUUGAGAAACGUUGUUGUUCUUCAUUUUGAAGCCACAUCAGAGAACAAGAUUUGCUUUUGUUUCUCGGUAAAAAUACCUUAAUUUAUUUUAUUAAAAAUGAGAGGAAAUUGAUUUAUUAUUUUAAAAUAAAUUUGUGUCAGUUUUUAAGAAAAAGAUCUUCGAUUUCUUCGAAGAAAGUAGUAGUUUGAACUUAAAAAAAAAAAAUCCUAGAUCUUUUGACUGUAAGUAAAUAUUUUUUGGGUACAUUUUAAGUUUCUUGCUUCUUUAGUUAAAAAAUAAAUAUUUAUGGUGUCCUAGUUUAAAAAGUAAGAGAGCCUCAUUUUUUUACUUAGAAACUAAGCAUGUUUUAUAAAUUUUUAAAAAUGAAUGUGCUUUGAUGAAUAAAAAAAUGUUUCUUUCUUGAGAAAAUUUAAAUCUGCUCUAGACCUUUGUGUAGCACCAACUGUGAAAAAAUGAGUCUUGAACAUUUGAUUCCUAAUACAUAUGUUUAUGUUUGUCGAUUUGAAAAUGAAAGCUAUUGUGAUGGCCCCUCCCUCUCUUAGACAUUGCAAUUUGCUUUCCUAGUAUGUGAUGAUCAUGACGAAAGACUUGUAUGCUCAGUUAUGAGAACUGUUUAAAUAUAGUUGGAAAAGAAUAAAAAAUGGCUGGGUCUUUUGGGUAGAGAACAUUAUUUAUGUGGCCCUUGCAUCCAUAAUGAAUGUUUUAAUUGAGAUUUUCGGACCCAAGUAUAAGAGUUUCAAUUCCAUAUUAACAAGCUUGCGAUCCCAAAAUCGCUGUGCUUGGAUAAUCAUUUUGAAAGCUACAGGUUUCUUGAUCUUUCAAAACAAGCUUACUUUAUAUCCUUAGAUGUCUCGCAUCGAAAUAUGUAAGUUCGGAAAGUAAAAUAGCUCAAUUUAUUUUUUUGGAACAAUCUUGUCCCUCAUAAUAGUUCCAAUUCUUAAAAAAAUGUGACUUGAUCUUUUUGCUGGAAGUAAAUAUUUUUUAAUAUAUCAACUUAAAAUUUUUUAACCUUUUGUUGAAGCAUAAUUACAAUAGUUAUUCCAUAUGGGAAGUGUACCGAUUGGAACAUCAGAGAAGCUCAAGCGAUUGUUUAAAAGCUGAAAAAUGUGUUGUAUCUAUUUUUCAGAAAAGGAAAUGUUUCUCAGUGCAUAUAAAUGCGAUUCUUGAUUUUUUGUGGCAAAAUCAAAACACUUCGAUCCCUCAAGUUGUACCAACUCAAAAAAGAUAUUGCCUGAAAUUUCGAUCCAAAGUAAAUAUGUUUCGGUGUGUCGGUUUAAAACUAAAAGUUUCUUUUGUGGCACACUUUCUUAUGGAGAGUUAGGGGACCUUUCACUUAGUGACGACAAUAUGCUUUCCCAAUCUAUUUUUAGAAUGGACGGAAAAAUUUGAUGUUCGCUUAUGGGAAUUGUCAUUUUAUGUGAGGAAGGUUGCCACUCUUCAUUUUGUAGCCACAUUGAUAAUCUUGGUGCAGUUUUGUUCUUCGGUAAAAGUACCUCAAUUUGAUGUUUCAAAACUGGCAUUGUAUACUAAUUUUUUGAAAAUAAAUGUGCCUCGGUAUCUAUGCAAAAACUUCACAGUUUUUUAGAGAAAAGUAAAAUUCAUUUAAUCUCUUGAUUUUUUGGGGCAAUGUAAGAUUUUGCCGGUCUCUUAGAUAAUUUUAUCUCUAAAAAAUUGUCUCUUGAUCUUGUAAGUGGAAGUUAUUGUUCUUCGGUAUGUUGGUUUAAUGUUUAUCGAUUUUUUGCUUUAAAAAUAAAUUUACAGGUGUCCCAUAUGGAAAGUAUACCAGUUGGAAAAGUAAGUGGAUUUCAAGUAAUUCUUAAAAACUCAAAGCGUGUUGUAUAAAGAUAAAUGUGUCUUGGUGCAAAAGAGAAUGAUAUUGGAUUUCCUGUAGCAAACUAAAACUUUUUUAAUGCUUCAAGACUUUUGAUUCAAAGUAAAUAUUUUUCAGAAUAUGUUGGUUGAAAGUAAAAGUUACUUUGUUGAUACCCUUUUUCUUGGAGAGUUGACAACCUUUCUCUUAUAGAUCUGGUAGUGUGCUUUCUGACUUAUUUAUUACUACGGACGAAAGACAUGAACGCUCAGUUAUAGGAAUUAUUCAUUUUAUUUGAGAAAGAUCAUCGUUCUUGAUUUUGAAGCCAAUUAAUAAACUUGAUGUGCUUUCUUUGCUCAGUUAAAGUUUCCAAAUUCGUUGUAUUGCGAUGAGAGUGUAUUGGUUUAUCGUAAAUAAAUGUACUUUUAUGUGUAGGCAACGGUUUUUCAAUUUCUUGAGAAAAGGUAAAUCUUCCAAUCGCCACGGUAGUUGGAAGUCAAGAGAAGUAUGCAUGGAUUUUUUUUGGUUGCAGGUUAAUAUUUUUUAGUAUUUCAUCUCAAAGUUUCUUUGUUGUUUUUGUUUAACAGUAAUUGCUUCUAGUGUCCCAUAUGGAAUGUGUCCAGCUUUGGAAAGUAAGAGCGCCUAAAUUUAUUAUUUUGGAGCAUAAAAAUGUGUUUUGGAAUGUAAAUUUUUUUUUUAAUUUGUUGGGGCAAUUUAAAUAUCUCCAAUCCAGUUCUAGUUCUGAAAAAAUGUGCAUUGAACUUUUGAUUCAAUGAAAACCUGUUUCUGUAUGUGGCUUUGAAAGUAGGAGCUAAUUUGGUGGCAAUCUGAAAGUAAAAGUUAUCAUGGUUACACUAUUGCUCUUAGAGAUUUGGGUGUUCACUCUCCUAAUCUUUAGACCUAUGGGCAAAAAUGUGUAGGUUUGGUUAUGGGAUCUGAUAGUUUAUGCGAGAACUUUUGCUGUUUGUUUCUUUCAUUUCUUAUCACCACAAACUACAAACUUGUAUGCCCAGUUAUGUGUUACUUUUACAAGAAAGAGUGUUAUCUUUCUCUAUAUUGCAGCCUAGAUGUGUUAUCUUUCUCUAUAUUGCCUCCUAGAUAUUAAGUGACACAAUGAAGGUAUUGAGACUUGGUGGAAAAUGAUGUCAUCCUGGUCACUGAUUCCACAAGUUUCUAUCAUAAAUUUUUUUUUGGCCCUUCUACAUCUUAUAUUAAAUGAUAUGGGUACGUAAAAAUGUCAUGAUCUUUUAAGUUUUGAAAGAAAAGUACCUUUUGCCUCUUAGGCCCAAAAUAUGUGCAGCUUAUGUUUAUGUCUCUACUUAGGUAUACCAUUAUCUUUUUUCUUGGUUCACUGGUAGGUUAUACCAAAAAUUCUAAUUAUUGAAAUUGGUUGAGCUACCAUAAUUACAGUAGGUGUUCCAUAUGAAAUGUGUACCAGUUGGAACACUAAGAGAGGGUCAAGUAAUUGUUUAAAAGCUGAAACAAUGUGUUGUAUCUAUUUUUAAAGAAAGAAAAUGUGCCUUGGUGCAUGAAAAUGUGAUUCUUGAUUGUUUGUGGCAAAAUAAAACUGCUUUGAUUCCACAAGUUCUACCAAUUCAAAAAGAUGUGGCUUGAAAUUUUGACCAAAAGUAAAUAUGUUGUGGUGUAUCGGUUUGAAAAUAAAAGUUUCUUCGAUGAUACUUUCUUUUGGAGAGUUAGGCAACCUUUCAUUUAGUGGUGGCAAUAUGCUUUCUCAAUCAAUUUUUAGCAUGGACGGAAAAGUUUGAUGCUCAGUUCUGGGAAUUGUCAUUUUGUUUGGGGAAGGUUGCCGCUCUUCAUUUUGAAGCCACAUUGAUAAUCUAGAUGCAUUUUUGUUCCUCGGUAAAAGUUUCUCAAUUCGAUAUUUUGAAACUAACACUGUAUUAACUAAUUUUUUAAAAAUAAAUGUGCCUUGGUGUCUAAGCAAAAGUUUCUUUGUUUUUUGGGAAAAAGUUAAAUUUCUUCGAUCUCUCGGUUGGUUGGAACAUAAAAAGAAAUAUGUUUUGAUGUUUUGCUUGCAAGUAGAUAUUUUUUAUUGAAAUAUAAAAAAACAGUUUUCUUAUGGUCUCCUACAUUGAAAGUGUUUUGGUUCGGGAAGUAAAGGAGGCUCAAUUUAUAAUUUCGAACCUGAAAACAAUUUUUUUUGUAUUAUUUAAAGAUAAAUGUGACUUGAUGCACGAGAAAAUGGAUUUCGAUUUUUUGGAGCAAUGUAAAUUUGCUCCAACUCCUCUUGUAGUUCCAAUUUUUGAAAAAACAUGCGUUGAACUUUUGAUCCGAGAGAAAUAUGUUUUUGUUUGUGGCCGUAAAAGUAAAGGAUACUGGGAUGACAUCUCUUAUGAUAUUGUAAUAUGCUUUCCUAAUAUAUGAUAACUAUGGAUAGAAAAUUUGUAUGCUGGAUUGCGAAAACUAUUAUAUUCAGUUUAUGUAAGAUAUAUGAGAUGUGUUUUGAAAGUUUGAAUUUCAUGAUCUUUUGGCACAAACAUAUAUCAUUCAAUGUCCCAUAUUCAGAAAGUAAAUGGCCUCGAUUAAUUUUUUUGAGAGCGAGUGUGUCAAUUUAUUUUUUAAAUAAAUUUGUUUGUUGGUGCUUGAACAAAUGUUCCUUAAUUUUUUGGGGCAGUGUAAGAUUUUGCCAGUCUCUUGGAUGAUUCUAUCUCUAAAAAAUUGUCCCUUGAUCUUUUAACUGAAGUUAAUUAAUCUUUGGUAUAUAAUUUUCUUGAUCUUUUGCUUUAAAAAUAAAUCUACAAGAUGUCCCACAUGAAAAGUAUACAAGUUGGAAAAGUAAGUGGAUGUCAAAUAAUUUUUUUAAAAUUGAAAGGCAUGUUGUAUCUAUUAUUUGAAAGAUAAAUGUGCUUUGGUGCAAAAGAAAAUGAUUUUGAAUUUCCUGCAGCAAAGUAAAACUUUUGUGAUGCUUCGGGUUGUCUAAACUCUAAAAGUUGUGGUUUGCACUUCUGGUUCAAAGUAAAUAUUUUUCAGAAUAUGUUUGUUGAAAGUAAAAGAUACUUUGAUGACACCUUUUCUCUUGAAGGGUUGGCAACCUUUCUCCUAUAAUUGUGGAAUCUCAUUAGAGAUUAGAUAUGGUAGAAAAACUUGUUGAACCUUCGAAGCAAGUAGGGAUGGCUCUUGAAAUACAUGUUCUGCAGUUAUCAUUAGAGAAUGUUUCAGAAGAACCUUUCCAAUAGUUUUCAGAUGAAGAAGUAGAUUAUGGUUCAAAAUCAUUUAUUUAGGAGUUAAAAAUCAAUAGAGCAAAUAGAGCUUGUCCCAGAAACACCAAGAUCACUGAGGGCACUGAAAGCUCCAGUUAUGAUAUUAUGGAUACAGUAAGAAGUAAAAAUAGAUUUGAAAUUACCGAGAAAGGGGUAUCUCUUAGCAAGGAUGAAGAAUUUGAUCUCAAUUUAAUGAGUGAGGUAAAGUAACUUGUUUGAAUGCCCUUUUUUGCACAUUAUCUUGUUUCCUCGAUAACCUUUCAUAUUCUGAAACUGUGUUAGAUGAGGCGUAGUAUGUUUUCUAUAUGAUUGUUUCCAUUUUCUCUCUUGUACAUCCUAUAUUGUGCUGUUAAAGAUUCAUUUUUGGUUGGUCAGGAAAUGAGUCUAGUUGAAAGAGAUGAGAACCAAUUAGAGGGUGGCAACCUAUUUGGGGAAAACUUUUACAGAUCAAAGGGAAAAGCAAGAGGAUGAAGUGGGAGCCUGUCGCAAGUUUCAGAAAGAAGAACCAGAAAAGGAAAUUUAAGGUUCUUUUAUGAGAUACUGCUUUUUUGUGGCUCGGUUUCUUAACGUAUAUUUGAGUGUGUUCGAGCUUUUGAACAUGAACCCAUUGUUUAUAUUUAAAUGUAAACUCUAAUAAAUGUUCGGCUGGAUGGUUAUUAUGUAUCUCUCUCUAUAAGAGAUUGUAGAUUCUAAUUAAACCAUGUAUUCUCAUGUGUUCU
Molecule: non-coding RNA, 8659 nt
Organism: Carica papaya (papaya)
Lineage: Eukaryota; Viridiplantae; Streptophyta; Magnoliopsida; Brassicales; Caricaceae
Source: RefSeq, a predicted model, not a curated record